GUGAGUCAUCGAAUCUUUGAACGCACAUUGCGCCCUUUGGCAUUCCUUAGGGCAUGCCUGUUCGAGCGUCAUUUACACCCUCAAGCACUGCUUGGUGUUGGGCGUCUGUCCCCCCUUUUGGGCGCGGACUCGCCUCAAAGUCAUUGGCGGCCGGUAUGUAGGCUUCGAGCGCAGCACAGUCGCGUCUCGUACCUGCGGUACCUGUGACCAAAAAGCACUUUUCCACAGUUUGACCUCGGAUCAGGUAGGGAUACCCGCUGAACUUAAGCAUAUCAAUAAGCGGAGGA
RNAcentral lists this unclassified non-coding RNA (287 nucleotides) under Preussia sp. (in: ascomycete fungi). Its description in RNAcentral is "Preussia sp. (in: Fungi) partial contains 5.8S ribosomal RNA, internal transcribed spacer 2, and large subunit ribosomal RNA". The stretch from base 1 to 71 matches the Rfam family "5.8S ribosomal RNA", at positions 84 to 154 of the family's 154-position model. The record is from RNAcentral. Lineage: Eukaryota; Fungi; Ascomycota; Dothideomycetes; Pleosporales; Sporormiaceae.